This 253-nucleotide ribosomal RNA is filed under the name uncultured bacterium. RNAcentral describes it as "partial 16S ribosomal RNA". It matches the Rfam family "Bacterial small subunit ribosomal RNA", at positions 524 to 776 of the family's 1533-position model. The record is from RNAcentral.
UACGAAGGGUGCAAGCGUUGUUCGGAAUUCUUGGGCGUAAAGGGUUCGUAGGUUGGAGAGUAAGUCGAGUGUGAAAUCCCUGAGCUUAACUCAGGACGUGCACCCGAAACUGCUUUUCUUGAAUGUUAGAGAGGGUCGUAGAAUUGCUGGUGUAGGAGUGAAAUCCGUAGAUAUCAGCAGGAAUACCAGAGGCGAAGGCGGCGACCUGGCUAAACAUUGACACUGAGGAACGAAAGCGUGGGGAGCAAACAGG